UACGGGGGGGGCAAGCGUUGUUCGGAAUUACUGGGCGUAAAGGGCUCGUAGGUGGCCAACUAAGUCGGACGUGAAAUCCCUCGGCUUAACCGGGGAACUGCGUCCGAUACUGGUUGGCUUGAGUUUGGGAGAGGGAUGCGGAAUUCCAGGUGUAGAGGUGAAAUUCGUAGAUAUCAGGAGGAACACCAGUGGCGAAGGCGGCUUCCUGGACACCAACUGACGCUGAGACGCGAAAGCGUGGGGAGCAAACAGG
This 253-nucleotide ribosomal RNA is filed under the name uncultured bacterium. Its description in RNAcentral is "partial 16S ribosomal RNA". It matches the Rfam family "Bacterial small subunit ribosomal RNA", at positions 524 to 776 of the family's 1533-position model. The record is from RNAcentral.